This 70-nucleotide non-coding RNA is filed under the name unclassified sequences. The record is from RNAcentral.
GGCGAAAAGCCACUCCUAAUGCAGCCACCGUAAGGUGAUGGUCACAAGCCCAUGAAAUGCAGAGUGGGAG